GCGAGAGAUGGGUGUGAGUACACAGAUGAUGAUUUAAUAGAUCUGAAUGGAAAUAGAGGAUUGUGUGCCGACCAGACAAUGGGGUCAAUAUACUGCGUUCAUGUCGAUGUCUAGUUAAGCAACGCAAUUAUCAUGUUAACUUUUGGUGGAUUUUUCUGUUUGUCUACCUCAGACUAAAAACAAUGUUUGUAGAGAACUCUGCCAGGGAUUACAGGUGCAAAUAUAAUCUGUCACAAGGAGUAGAAGAACAAGAGUGUUUUUUUAAUAGUUACUUGAAAAUGUUGUCGCUUUUCAAAAGUCUGUACAUGGCAGUGGCAUAAAGAAGCGGAGACUUGCAAUAUUUGUAUUUUGUACCGAAUAAGAUUCACAACUAAAGAGGUAAUACUAAGUAUUCCUAAUAUCUGUUUGAAUAAAGCCAAUAAAGACGUUAUUUAUUAAAUAUAAUUAUUAUAUUUAAUAUAUAAUAUAUUAAAUAUAUCAUAACACUGUUAUUUAAAAUAAAAUAUUUGAUUAAAUGUUGGUUUCGUGUAA
Molecule: long non-coding RNA, 531 nt
Organism: Bombyx mori (domestic silkworm)
Lineage: Eukaryota; Metazoa; Arthropoda; Insecta; Lepidoptera; Bombycidae
Exons: 2
Source: RefSeq, a predicted model, not a curated record